This 218-nucleotide ribosomal RNA is filed under the name uncultured bacterium. Its description in RNAcentral is "partial 16S ribosomal RNA". It matches the Rfam family "Bacterial small subunit ribosomal RNA", at positions 57 to 305 of the family's 1533-position model. The record is from RNAcentral.
GCAAGUCGAACGAACCUUCGGGUUAGUGGCGGACGGGUGAGUAACGCGUGAGAAUCUGCCCCCAGGAGGGGGAUAACAGCUGGAAACGGCUGCUAAUACCCCAUAUGCCGCGAGGUGAAAUGAAUUUCGCCUGAGGAUGAGCUCGCGUCUGAUUAGCUAGUUGGUGUGGGUAAUGGCUCACCAAGGCGACGAUCAGUAUCUGGUUUGAGAGGAUGACC